UAAGGUGAUUAUAGCGAUGGGGCUCACCUCUUACCUUUCCGAACAGAGAAGUUAAGCCCACUUGCGCCGAUGGUACUGCAAUGCAAUGCGGGAGAGUAGGUCGCCGCCUCCU
This 112-nucleotide ribosomal RNA is filed under the name Ruegeria haliotis. The record is from RNAcentral. Lineage: Bacteria; Pseudomonadati; Pseudomonadota; Alphaproteobacteria; Rhodobacterales; Roseobacteraceae.